Molecule: ribosomal RNA, 478 nt
Filed under: uncultured bacterium
Lineage: Bacteria
Description: bacterial SSU rRNA
Rfam family: Bacterial small subunit ribosomal RNA
Source: RNAcentral
UUUCGCAAUGCCCGAAAGGGUGACGAAGCGACGCCGCGUGCGGGAAGAAGGCCUUCGGGUUGUAAACCGCUGUCGGGAGUUAAGAAAUGUAAGGAUGUUAAUAGCAUCUUUGCUUGACUAAGGCUCCGGAGGAAGCCACGGCUAACUCUGUGCCAGCAGCCGCGGUAAUACAGAGGCGGCAAGCGUUGUUCGGAAUUAUUGGGCGUAAAGAGCACGUAGGCGGCUAUAUAAGUCGGUUGUGAAAGCCUUCCGCUCAACGGGAGAACAGCAUCCGAUACUGUAUGGCUUGAGUGUGGGAGGGGAGAGCGGAACUUCUGGUGGAGCGGUGAAAUGCGUAGAUAUCAGAAGGAACACCGGCGGCGAAGGCGACUCUCUGGUCCGUAACUGACGCUGAGUGUGCGAAAGCUAGGGGAGCAAACGGGAUUAGAUACCCCGGUAGUCCUAGCCGUAAACGAUGGGCACUAAGUAGAGGGGUUUU